CCUGGCACUAGUACGAGAGGACCGUGCUGGACGCACCGCUAGUGUACCUGUUGUGGCGCCAGCUGCACCGCAGGGUAGCUACGUGCUGAAGGGAUAAGCGCUGAAAGCAUCUAAGCGCGAAGCCCCCCCCCAAGAUGAGGCCUCCCCAUAGGGUCCCCGAAGACUACGGGGUUGAUAGGCUGCAGGUGUAAAGCCGGUAACGGCAAAGCCGAGCAGUACUAAUGGCCCGAACGGCUUUCCCG
RNAcentral lists this ribosomal RNA (242 nucleotides) under Rikenellaceae bacterium. Its description in RNAcentral is "partial 23S ribosomal RNA". It matches the Rfam family "Bacterial large subunit ribosomal RNA", at positions 2671 to 2925 of the family's 2925-position model. The record is from RNAcentral. Lineage: Bacteria; Pseudomonadati; Bacteroidota; Bacteroidia; Bacteroidales; Rikenellaceae.